AACGCUGGCGGCGCGCUUAACACAUGCAAGUCGAGCGAGAACCUGGCCUUCGGGCCAGGGGACAGCGGCGAACGGGUGAGUAACACGUGGGUAAUCUGCCCUCGGCAUCGGGAUAGCCCGGGGAAACCCGGAUUAAUACCGAAUAGCCUCCGGAGCCUUCGGGCGCCGGAGAAAAGGUAGCUUCGGCCUCUGGCCGAGGAUGAGCCCGCGGCGGAUUAGCUUGUUGGUGGGGUAACGGCCCACCAAGGCGACGAUCCGUAGCUGGUCUGGGAGGACGAUCAGCCACACUGGGACUGAGGCACGGCCCAGACUCCUACGGGAGGCAGCAGUGGGGAAUCUUGCGCAAAUGCGGGAAACCGUGACGCAGCGACGCCGCGUGGGGGAAGAAGGCCUUCGGGUUGUAAACCUCUUUCAGGAGGGACGAAGCUACUCGGGUGAAUAGCCCAGAGGGUGACGGUACCUCCAGAAGAAGCCCCGGCUAACUACGUGCCAGCAGCCGCGGUAA
This 505-nucleotide ribosomal RNA is filed under the name uncultured bacterium. RNAcentral's name for it is "partial 16S ribosomal RNA". It matches the Rfam family "Bacterial small subunit ribosomal RNA", at positions 32 to 523 of the family's 1533-position model. The record is from RNAcentral.